GAUAAACGCUGGCGGCGUGCCUAACACAUGCAAGUCGAACGAAGAUUUUAUGGAAUGCGGCUUCGGCCAAAUGAAGUUUAAUCUUAGUGGCGGACGGGUGAGUAACGCGUGAGCAACCUGCCUUUCAGAGGGGGAUAACGUUUGGAAACGAACGCUAAUACCGCAUGAUGUAACGGAAUCGCAUGAUUUUGUUACCAAAGGAGCAAUCCGCUGAAAGAUAGUCUCGCGUCUGAUUAGCUAGAUGGCGGGGUAACGGCCCACCAUGGCGACGAUCAGUAGCCGGUCUGAGAGGAUGAACGGCCACAUUGGGACUGAGAUACGGCCCAGACUCCUACGGGAGGCAGCAGUGGGGAACAUUGGGCAAUGGACGCAAGUCUGACCCAGCAACGCCGCGUGAAGGAAGACGGUCUUCGGAUUGUAAACUUUUGUUCUUAGUGAAGAAGAAUGACGGUAGCUAAGGAGAAAGCCACGGCUAACUACGUG
This 483-nucleotide ribosomal RNA is filed under the name uncultured bacterium. RNAcentral describes it as "bacterial SSU rRNA". It matches the Rfam family "Bacterial small subunit ribosomal RNA", at positions 28 to 507 of the family's 1533-position model. The record is from RNAcentral.